Molecule: ribosomal RNA, 207 nt
Filed under: uncultured bacterium
Lineage: Bacteria
Description: partial 16S ribosomal RNA
Rfam family: Bacterial small subunit ribosomal RNA
Source: RNAcentral
CGCGUAGGCGGCCGCGUAAGUCACUUGUGAAAUCCCGGGGCUCAACUCCGGGGCUGCAGGUGAGACUGCGUGGCUAGAGCACGGUAGAGGCGAGUGGAAUUCCCGGUGUAGCGGUGGAAUGCGUAGAUAUCGGGAAGAACACCGGUGGCGAAGGCGGCUCGCUGGGCCGUUGCUGACGCUGAGGCGCGAAAGCGUGGGGAGCAAACA